Molecule: ribosomal RNA, 1735 nt
Organism: Ipomoea nil (Japanese morning glory)
Lineage: Eukaryota; Viridiplantae; Streptophyta; Magnoliopsida; Solanales; Convolvulaceae
Rfam family: Eukaryotic small subunit ribosomal RNA
Source: Rfam
UACUGGAUUGAUCUCUGGCAGUAGUCAUAUGUUGUCUCAAAGAUUAAGCCAUGAUGGGUUGGUAAGUAUGAAAUAUUAAGACUGUGAAAAUGCGAAUCUCAUAUAAAUCAGUUAUAGUUUGUUUUGAUGGUAGCUACUACGGAUAACCGUAGUAGAUUAUGAAGCUAAUAGUGCAAUUACCCCGCACUUGCUGGAAGGGAUUGCAUAUUAUUAGUUAAGAGGUCGACGCAGGGCUCUGCCGUUGCUGCGAUGAUUAUGAUAACUGCGAGGAUUCGACGGCUUAGUCGCGGCGAGCAUCAUCAAAUUUCUGCCGCCUAUCAACUUUCGAUGUAGGAUAGUGGCCUACCAUCGGUGGUGACGAGGUGAACGGAGAGAAAUUAGGGUUCGAUUCGCGGAGAGGAGGCCUGAGAAACGGGGCUACCACAUCAAGGAAGGCAGCGCUGCGGCGAAAUUACCCAAUCCUGACAGGGCCGGGAGGUAUGUGAAUAAUGAACAUACGGUCUGGAUGAGUGUUGGUAAUUGGAAGAGUAGCAAUUCUAAAUGCCCUUAACGGGAGAUCCAUUGGAGCAAGUCUGGUGAGCAGCAGCUGGGUAAUUCCAGCGCAUAAUAGACGUAUAUCUUAGGUUGUUGCAGUUAAAAGCCUCGUAUUUGGGACUUGGGUGGGCGGCCGUCGCCUCACGGGUGUGCACCGGUCGUUCGUCCCUUCUGCCGGCUGUAUGCGUCCUGGCUUAAUUGGCGGGUCGUUGCUCCGGCGCUGUUCUGUUGAGAAAUUAGAGUGCUCUAAAGCAAGCUACGCUCUGUAUCAUUUAGCCAUGGGAUAGCAUUUAUAGGAUUUCGGUGCCUAUUACGUUGGCCUUCGGGAUCGGAAGUAAUGAUUAUAACAGGAGGCAAUCAAGGGGGAUUCGUAUUUCAUAGUCAAGAGAGUGAAAUUCCUUGGAUAUUAUGAAGAACGGAACAAUAUGCGAAAGCAUUUGCGAGAAGGAUGUUUUCAUUAAAUCAAGAACGAAAGUUGCAUAAGGGGCUCGAAGACGAUCAAGAUAAUGCGUCUACGUUCUCACCAAAAACGUGCCGAGAUCCAGGAUGCGACGAUGUUGCUUUAGGACUCCGCCGGCACCUUUAAUGGAGAAAUCAAAGUCUAUUGGGUUCGGAGGAGCAAGAUGGUCGGCAAGCUGAACUUAAAAGGAAAAUUGACGAAAGGGCCACGCAGGAGUGAGAAAGCCUGACGGACUUAAAUUUGACUCAAACACGGGGAAACUAACAGGUUCGCAGAGAUAGAAGGAGAUAUGUAACGACUGAAACUCUUUCGAGAAUGUCUAUGGGUGGUGUGAAAAUGGCGUUACUUAGUUGAGUGGGAGGCGAUUAUUGUACUGAGUUUAUCUCAGCGUAUAAGCGAACUGAGACUCAGUGCUAACUAGCUAUGCGGAGGAUAUGCCUCCGCAGGCCGAUAGCUUCUGAGGGACUCGGCGUUUCAGCGGGAAGUUGACGGAAUACAGGUACUUGAUGAGCUUAGAUGUUCAUGGCGCAACUAGCGCGGCUAACACUGAUGUAUUCAACGGAAGCUAUAGCCUUGGCGCGACAGGAGUAACACCGGGAAUCUUUGAAUUUUCAUGUGAUGGGAUAGAUAUUUGUAAUUGUUGGUCUGUCACGAAGGGAUUCCAUAAGUAAGUCGAGAUAAUCAGCUCGCGUUGACUACGUCACUGCCUUUAUUGUACACAACGGCCAUGUAAAAUCCUGA